GAGUUUGAUCGUGGCUCAGGAUGAACGCCGGCGGUGUGCCUAAUACAUGCAAGUCGUACGCACUGGCCCAACUGAUUGAUGGUGCUUGCACCUGAUCGACGAUGGAUCACCAGUGAGUGGCGGACGGGUGAGUAACACGUAGGUAACCUGCCCUGUACAGGGGAUAACAAUCAGAAAUGACUGCUAAUACCGCAUAAGACCACAGCACCGCAUGGUGCAGGGGUAAAAACUCCGGUGGUACAGGAUGGACCCGCGUCUGAUUAGCUGGUUGGUGAGGUAACGGCUCACCAAGGCGACGAUCAGUAGCCGGCUUGAGAGAGUGAACGGCCACAUUGGGACUGAGACACGGCCCAAACUCCUACGGGAGGCAGCAGUGGGGAAUAUUGCACAAUGGGGAAACCCUGAUGCAGCAACGCCGCGUGAGUGAAGAAGUAUUUCGGUAUGUAAAGCUCUAUCAGCAGGGAAGAAAGUGACGGUACCUGACUAAGAAGCCCCGGCUAACUACG
Molecule: ribosomal RNA, 506 nt
Filed under: uncultured microorganism
Description: bacterial SSU rRNA
Rfam family: Bacterial small subunit ribosomal RNA
Source: RNAcentral